GACGUAGGGCGCAAGCGUUGUCCGGAUUUAUUGGGCGUAAAGAGCUCGUAGGCGGCCUGUCGCGUCGACCGUGAAAACCCGCAGCUCAACUGCGGGCUUGCGGUCGAUACGGGCAGGCUGGAGUUCGGUAGGGGAGACUGGAAUUCCUGGUGUAGCGGUGAAAUGCGCAGAUAUCAGGAGGAACACCGGUGGCGAAGGCGGGUCUCUGGGCCGAUAUUGACGCUGAGGAGCGAAAGCGUGGGGAGCGAACAGG
Molecule: ribosomal RNA, 253 nt
Filed under: uncultured bacterium
Lineage: Bacteria
Description: partial 16S ribosomal RNA
Rfam family: Bacterial small subunit ribosomal RNA
Source: RNAcentral